Mus musculus (house mouse) is the source of this 608-nucleotide long non-coding RNA. RefSeq annotates it as predicted gene, 53549. The record is from RefSeq and is a predicted model, not a curated record. NCBI's taxonomy places the organism in Eukaryota, Metazoa, Chordata, Mammalia, Rodentia, Muridae. The transcript is spliced from 2 exons.
AACUCCACGAUCUUACAAGGAACCUAUGUCUCUGCCUCCUUUGGCUAAGGGAUGCUGGGGCCUUUGGAUUCCCCAAAGUCCUGAAAUGAGCAGACCUUUUCUGCCAUGAACUCAUUCGAUGACGUUGGAGGCAACCACAGGCCCAGAGCAACAGUGCCACGUGACCAUGUGAACUCUCUGGAACUCUGAGCCCGUUUCUCUGACUUCUCCGCCGCACUUACUUUAUCACAGCAACGGAAAACAGACUAAGGACUUUACCUCUGAAGUUUUCAACAGCUCAAAAAAUGUUAAGGUUUCCCAGAAAAGAGAUAUAUGUGUCGAUGUACAACAAGGGACCAAGGAAAUUGUACAAACUUGUUAAUUUAUUACAAAAUGUUCACUCACAGAAAAACACAAGGAAACCUUUAUACUUUCAUAUGUGGGAAUGGAACUGGUAUCUCAGAUACAAAAUAAUUUACACAUAAUCCGUACAAUUUUAUUUUUUUAUAGAAAUAGGUCAUUAUUACAACAGCUGUACAAUUCACUACACUUCCUCUUAUAAUUAUAUAAAAUCUUCUCUUUAGAAAUACCUCGACAUAACAAAACAUACAAAAAAAAAAAAAAAAAAA